AGGGAUGUAGCUCAGUGGUAGAGUGCUUGCUUGGCAUGCAUGAGGUCCUGGGUUCAAUUCUAAGAAUCAUAA
RNAcentral lists this transfer RNA (72 nucleotides) under Marmota marmota marmota (Alpine marmot). It matches the Rfam family "tRNA". Rfam says of the family: Transfer RNA (tRNA) molecules are approximately 80 nucleotides in length. Their secondary structure includes four short double-helical elements and three loops (D, anti-codon, and T loops). RNAcentral also lists the same sequence under 2 other names. Lineage: Eukaryota; Metazoa; Chordata; Mammalia; Rodentia; Sciuridae. The record is from Rfam by way of RNAcentral.